UAUAAGCGCAGUUAUGAGUUUUCGUAUCCAAUCUUGAUAGUCCGUUAUAUUUGAAAUUUUUUUAUAAUUAGUAUUUCUAUUGUUAUUAGAUGAUAAAACAUGAAUUGUACUUUAUGCGUGACUUAUAUUUUUUAUUUUUUUCAAAAAUAAAAUUCAAAUAAAACGAAUGAUUAAUAUUUGACACAUAAACUUAUGCUUGCGCUUAAA
Molecule: non-coding RNA, 207 nt
Organism: Oryza nivara
Lineage: Eukaryota; Viridiplantae; Streptophyta; Magnoliopsida; Poales; Poaceae
Source: Rfam